AAACAAGUCACCUGGGGAUCUUGUGAAAUUACAAAUUCUGAUUCAGAAGGUCUGGGAUCAGGACCCGAGAUUCUGAAUUUGUAUGAUGCUUCCAGGUGAUGUCAAU
This 106-nucleotide microRNA precursor is filed under the name Marmota monax (woodchuck). The record is from RNAcentral. Lineage: Eukaryota; Metazoa; Chordata; Mammalia; Rodentia; Sciuridae.